UACGUAGGGUGCGAGCGUUGCCCGGAUUUAUUGGGCGUAAAGGGCGCGUAGGCGGCUACGCACGUCCGUUGUGAAAUCGCUCGGCUCAACUGGGCGGGGUCAGCGGAUACGGCGUGGCUGGAGCAAGCUAGGGGGCAAUGGAAUUCCCGGUGUAGUGGUGGAAUGCGUAGAUAUCGGGAGGAACACCAGUGGCGAAGGCGGUUGCCUGGAGCUUUGCUGACGCUGAUGCGCGAAAGCGUGGGGAGCGAUCCGG
Molecule: ribosomal RNA, 253 nt
Filed under: uncultured bacterium
Lineage: Bacteria
Description: partial 16S ribosomal RNA
Rfam family: Bacterial small subunit ribosomal RNA
Source: RNAcentral